Molecule: ribosomal RNA, 403 nt
Filed under: uncultured bacterium
Lineage: Bacteria
Description: bacterial SSU rRNA
Rfam family: Bacterial small subunit ribosomal RNA
Source: RNAcentral
UAGGGAAUAUUAGUAAUGGGCGAAAGCCUGAACUAGCAACGCCGCGUGUGCGAAGAAGGCCUUCGGGUUGUAAAGCACUUUUUGAGAGGAUGAGGAAGGACGGUACUCUCAGAAUAAGUCUCGGCUAACUACGCGCCAGCAGCCGCGGUAACACGUAGGAGGCGAACGUUAUCCGGAUUUACUGGGCGUAAAGCGCGUGUAGGUGGUUUGGUAAGUAGGGCGUGAAAGCUCCUGGCUCAACUGGGGGAGGUCGUUCAAAACUGCCGAGCUAGAGUGCGGGAGAGGGAGGUGGAAUUCCGGGUGUAGUGGUGAAAUGCGUAGAUAUCCGGAGGAACACCAGUGGCGAAAGCGGCCUCCUGGUCCGCAACUGACGCUCAGACGCGAAAGCUAGGGUAGCAAACGG